GUUUCAGGGCGAGGCGCAAUUCCUCACCGGCGGUGAUGGACGGAAUUUUCCGUCACAAGUCCGCGAGCUUUCACCAGCAUGAUCGGGUGUGAAUCCCGAACCGACGGUACAGUCCGGAUGAAAGAAA
Molecule: non-coding RNA, 127 nt
Filed under: Candidatus Avimicrobium caecorum
Lineage: Bacteria; Bacillati; Bacillota; Clostridia
Also listed under: 1 other name
Description: FMN riboswitch (RFN element)
Rfam family: FMN riboswitch aptamer (RFN element)
About the family: The RFN element is a highly conserved domain that is found frequently in the 5'-untranslated regions of prokaryotic mRNAs that encode for flavin mononucleotide (FMN) biosynthesis and transport proteins.
Source: RNAcentral